UACAUAAGGGGCAAGCGUUAUCCGGAAUCAUUGGGCGUAAAGCGCGCGUAGGCGGUCUAGUAAGCAGGAGGUUUAAUCCAUGGGCUCAACCCAUGGGCUGUCUCCUGAACUGCUGGACUAGAGUGCUAGAGGGGCAAGUGGAAUUCCUGAAGUAGCGGUGAAAUGCGUAGAUAUCAGGGAGAACACCAGUGGCGAAGGCGACUUGCUGGCUAGCAACUGACGCUGAGGUGCGAAAGCGUGGGGAGCGAACAGG
This 253-nucleotide unclassified non-coding RNA is filed under the name uncultured Bacillota bacterium. RNAcentral's name for it is "uncultured Firmicutes bacterium contains 16S-23S intergenic spacer region". It matches the Rfam family "Bacterial small subunit ribosomal RNA", at positions 524 to 776 of the family's 1533-position model. Lineage: Bacteria; Bacillati; Bacillota. The record is from RNAcentral.